Long non-coding RNA from Lotus japonicus, 628 nucleotides. RefSeq lists it as uncharacterized. The record is from RefSeq and is a predicted model, not a curated record. The transcript is spliced from 2 exons. NCBI's taxonomy places the organism in Eukaryota, Viridiplantae, Streptophyta, Magnoliopsida, Fabales, Fabaceae.
UCUUAUCCUCUUCUUCCUUAUAAUACCAAUUAUUUAGUCUCCUAUCAUAUGCUAACUUGCGUCCUCUCUCUUCCAUUCAACUAAGACCAUUUUCUCUCAUCAUUUUCUUACUUCCUGGACCGAGAGAGAGAAGCAACACCCAAGUGUUUUUAUUUUAUUUUAUAGCAUAUAAAGAAAUCAGCCACACAAAGCUUGUUCCCUUCCUAGUAAAUAUGAGAUUCAUUCCUCACCCAGUAAAACAACUUAUCUAUUUGUGGCGAUGGAGAAUCUUCGAAGGAGCUUAACCUUUGUGCGAGUAGAGAUGAAGACUUGAAGGACAGUGGAGUACUCGACGAGUAGAGUCGGGUUUAAGGCUAGAGACUUGGGUUAGAGAGCUUACCGUUUUUGGUUUAAGCUUGCAUAAAGAUUUUAGGAAUUUAUAUUUGAGGUUUCGGGUAGGUUCUGAUGCAUUGCUUUCCUGCGGUUUCCCGUUGUGGAGAUCGUAGGGAGUAUGUCGGAUUCAUGGUGUCAUUGCAUAAUAGGUUUUUUAUUGAGUUGUUUCUAUUGGGUAGGUUUUGUAGUUGGGAGUAUGUAUGACAUGUUUUGGAAAUACACUUCGAAAAGAAAAAAAAAUAUACUUAUGUUUAUA